GAUAAGAACGCAGCGAAAUGCGAUAAGUAAUGUGAAUUGCAGAAUUCAGUGAAUCAUCGAAUCUUUGAACGCACAUUGCGCCCGCCAGUAUUCUGGCGGGCAUGCCUGUUCGAGCGUCAUUUCAACCAUCAAGCCCCCGGCUUGUGUUGGGGACCUGCGGCUGCCGCAGGCCCUGAAAACCAGUGGCGGGCUCGCUGUCACACCGAGCGUAGUAGAUUUUCAUCUCGCUCAGGGCGUGCUGCGGGUUCCGGCCGUAAAAAGCCUUAUUUACCCAAGGUUGACCUCGGAUCAGGUAGGAAGACCCGCUGAACUUAAGCAUAUCAAUAAGCGGAGGA
Molecule: unclassified non-coding RNA, 335 nt
Filed under: soil metagenome
Description: partial contains 5.8S ribosomal RNA, internal transcribed spacer 2, and large subunit ribosomal RNA
Rfam family: 5.8S ribosomal RNA (bases 4-119)
Source: RNAcentral